This is a long non-coding RNA of Vespula vulgaris, 545 nucleotides long. RefSeq lists it as uncharacterized. Lineage: Eukaryota; Metazoa; Arthropoda; Insecta; Hymenoptera; Vespidae. The record is from RefSeq and is a predicted model, not a curated record. The transcript has 2 exons.
UUAUAAUAUAACCAUGAAUGAAUAAGAUCGAGAAAAAUGACUUACUCAUAGUCGAGUGGUUAGAAAACUUAUCAAAAAUUAUUGUACGUUAAAAUACUUCAAUUUACGAUAACAAAAAAAUUUGUUUACUUUUUACAAGAAAAACAAGUACGGUUUGAUGCACUUGUUUUUACAUAUCGCGUUAAAUAGGAAAGAAAAAUCUAGAUGUUUAUUUGCUACUAUUCCGCCAUAAUAACGUAGUCGGUUACUUCUGGACAUCAAAUACUUUCUAAUCAACAAGCGAAUAAAAACACUGAAAUUGAAACGAGAAACGAGAACGGAGGAAAAAACUAAAAUAUGCCUCCUCACUGCAUUGUUGGACUUCGAAGACUGAAACAUUCGCCGCCUUACUACGUUAACAAUGAUUGUACUUCUUUUAAUCGCAAAUUGUUCUUAUUUUGCCUAUAAAAUUAAUAACAAUUAAUUAGAAUAUUCGCUUUUUAAAUUAAGAAAUUGUAUAUAACAAAAUGAAAUAUAUUAAAUAAAUAAUAUUUUUAUUAAUGUAA